UAAUCGAUAUGUUGAAUUGUGGUCGCCGAUCGUUUGACCAGUUUCAGGUUGUUGAUCAAGACAUGUCACAUGGAAGAUUGUGCAAGAUAUGGAUAACAAAAGAAAUAUAAAUCCAAAAAAUAUUUCUGAAGCCUGAAUGUACCUGGUAGUCGAGACAAUGCACGUCAGAUUCAACAUUUUCUGUUGACACAGUUAUUGACUGUGAUUAUUUAUGAAGAAACUUGUACGUCAGGCAGUGAUUUUAGUUUAAGAAGGAUGACUUUAUAAUAAAAAAUGUUCAAUUUCAA
Molecule: long non-coding RNA, 287 nt
Organism: Belonocnema kinseyi
Lineage: Eukaryota; Metazoa; Arthropoda; Insecta; Hymenoptera; Cynipidae
Exons: 2
Source: RefSeq, a predicted model, not a curated record